UACGAAGGGGGCUAGCGUUGCUCGGAAUCACUGGGCGUAAAGCGCACGUAGGCGGCUCUUUAAGUCAGGGGUGAAAUCCUGGAGCUCAACUCCAGAACUGCCUUUGAUACUGAGGGGCUUGAGUCCGGGAGAGGUGAGUGGAACUGCGAGUGUAGAGGUGAAAUUCGUAGAUAUUCGCAAGAACACCAGUGGCGAAGGCGGCUCACUGGCCGGGUACUGACGCUGAGGUGCGAAAGCGUGGGGAGCAAACAGG
This 253-nucleotide ribosomal RNA is filed under the name uncultured bacterium. RNAcentral's name for it is "partial 16S ribosomal RNA". It matches the Rfam family "Bacterial small subunit ribosomal RNA", at positions 524 to 776 of the family's 1533-position model. The record is from RNAcentral.